ACACCGGUGGCCCAAUGGGUGUGCCCCAUGGUUGUGAGCGGCCCGCGACUACUCGCAAGAGGAAGUCCGGUGCCAGCUCCCAGGUGCGUGGGUUCGAGUCCCACACGGUGUA
Non-coding RNA from Auriculariales sp. MPI-PUGE-AT-0066, 112 nucleotides. Lineage: Eukaryota; Fungi; Basidiomycota; Agaricomycetes; Auriculariales. The record is from the annotation of a GenBank genome assembly.